RNAcentral lists this ribosomal RNA (465 nucleotides) under uncultured Klebsiella sp. RNAcentral describes it as "bacterial SSU rRNA". It matches the Rfam family "Bacterial small subunit ribosomal RNA", at positions 338 to 795 of the family's 1533-position model. The record is from RNAcentral. Lineage: Bacteria; Pseudomonadati; Pseudomonadota; Gammaproteobacteria; Enterobacterales; Enterobacteriaceae.
CCUACGGGUGGCUGCAGUGGGGAAUAUUGCACAAUGGGCGCAAGCCUGAUGCAGCCAUGCCGCGUGUGUGAAGAAGGCCUUCGGGUUGUAAAGCACUUUCAGCGGGGAGGAAGGCGUUAAGGUUAAUAACCUUGGCGAUUGACGUUACCCGCAGAAGAAGCACCGGCUAACUCCGUGCCAGCAGCCGCGGUAAUACGGAGGGUGCAAGCGUUAAUCGGAAUUACUGGGCGUAAAGCGCACGCAGGCGGUCUGUCAAGUCGGAUGUGAAAUCCCCGGGCCCAACCUGGGAACUGCAUUCGAAACUGGCAGGCUAGAGGCUUGUAGAGGGGGGUAGAAUUCUAGGUGUAGCGGUGAAAUGCGUAGAGAUCUGGAGGAAUACCGGUGGCGAAGGCGGCCCCCUGGACAAAGACUGACGCUCAGGUGCGAAAGCGUGGGGAGCAAACAGGAUUAGAUACCCUUGUAGUC